This 228-nucleotide non-coding RNA is filed under the name Exiguobacterium artemiae. Its description in RNAcentral is "Exiguobacterium sibiricum T-box sequence". It matches the Rfam family "T-box leader". Rfam says of the family: Uncharged tRNA acts as the effector for transcription antitermination of genes in the T-box leader family. T-boxes are found upstream of many aminoacyl-tRNA synthetase genes and some amino acid biosynthetic genes usually in Gram-positive bacteria. Lineage: Bacteria; Bacillati; Bacillota; Bacilli; Caryophanales. The record is from RNAcentral.
GUUAAAUCAUUGAGAAGGACACGUCUUUUAUCUAAAUACUGUCAGCGAAUCGGGGACCGGUGUGAGCCCGAUCAGUCAAGGAUAAAAGGUAUCCCCUUUGAGUGUGGAACUGAACCUGUUCAGUAAGUUCCACCGUUUCGCCUCCGUUAUCAGGCUCUUAAGUGGUAAUCCGUUUUUCAGGGUUGCUAGUAGGGUGGUACCGCGAGUUCAAGCCAACUCGUCCCUAUC